CUACGGAGGGUCCAAGCGUUAUCCGGAAUCAUUGGGUUUAAAGGGUGCGCAGGCGGUUUAUUAAGUCAGUGGUGAAAUCUCGAGGCUCAACCUCGAAACUGCCAUUGAUACUGAUAAACUUGAGUUCAGUUGGAGUAGGCGGAAUGUGUAGUGUAGCGGUGAAAUGCUUAGAUAUUACACAGAACACCGAUAGCGAAGGCAGCUUACUAAACUGAUACUGACGCUGAGGCACGAAAGCGUGGGGAGCGAACAGGAUUAGAUACCCCAGUAGUCC
This 274-nucleotide ribosomal RNA is filed under the name uncultured bacterium. RNAcentral describes it as "partial 16S ribosomal RNA". It matches the Rfam family "Bacterial small subunit ribosomal RNA", at positions 523 to 796 of the family's 1533-position model. The record is from RNAcentral.